AACGAACACUGGCGGCAGGCCUAACACAUGCAAGUCGAGCGGGACCUUCGGGUCUAGCGGCGGACGGGUUAGUAACGCGUGGGAACGUGCCCAAAGGUACGGAAUAGCCUCGGGAAACUGAGAGUAAUACCGUAUGUGCCCCUCGGGGGAAAGAUUUAUCGCCUUUGGAUCGGCCCGCGUUGGAUUAGGUAGUUGGUGGGGUAAUGGCUUACCAAGGCGAAGACGGGUAGCUGGUUUGAGAGAAUGAUCAGCCACACUGGCACUGGAACACGGGCCAGACUCCUACGGGAGGCAGCAGUGAGGAAUAUUGGGCAAUGGGCGAAAGCCUGACCCAGCCACGCCGCGUGAGUGAUGAAGGCCCUCGGGUCGUAAAGCUCUGUGGAGAGGGACGAAAACCCUGGUUUCAAAUAGGCUCCAGGCUUGACGGUACCUCUUUAGCAAGCACCGGCUAACUCUGUGCCAGCAGCCGCGGUAAUGUGGGACUGU
Molecule: ribosomal RNA, 486 nt
Filed under: uncultured bacterium
Lineage: Bacteria
Description: bacterial SSU rRNA
Rfam family: Bacterial small subunit ribosomal RNA
Source: RNAcentral